Molecule: ribosomal RNA, 674 nt
Filed under: Allobacillus halotolerans
Lineage: Bacteria; Bacillati; Bacillota; Bacilli; Caryophanales; Bacillaceae
Description: partial 23S ribosomal RNA
Rfam family: Bacterial large subunit ribosomal RNA
Source: RNAcentral
UCCGGUGAAGAUGCCGGAUACCUGCGACAGGACGGAAAGACCCCAUGGAGCUUUACUGUAGCUUGACAUUGGGUCUUGGUACUACAUGUACAGGAUAGGUGGGAGGCUUUGAAACCAGGACGCCAGUUUUGGCGGAGCCAUCCUUGGGAUACCACCCUUGUAGUACUGGGACUCUAACCAUAGGCCAUGAAUCUGGUCUUGGGACACUGUCAGGUGGGCAGUUUGACUGGGGCGGUCGCCUCCCAAAAGGUAACGGAGGCGCUCAAAGGUUCUCUCAGUACGGUCGGAAAUCGUACGUAGAGUGUAAAGGCAAAAGAGAGCUUGAUUGCAAGACAUACAGGUCGAGCAAGGAUGAAAAUCGGACUUAGUGAUCCGGUGGUUCUGCGUGGAAGGGCCAUCGCUCAACGGAUAAAAGCUACCCUGGGGAUAACAGGCUUAUCUCCCCCAAGAGUCCACAUCGACGGGGAGGUUUGGCACCUCGAUGUCGGCUCAUCACAUCCUGGGGCUGUAGUAGGUCCCAAGGGUUGGGCUGUUCGCCCAUUAAAGUGGUACGCGAGCUGGGUUCAGAACGUCGUGAGACAGUUCGGUCCCUAUCCGUCGCAGGCGUAGGAAAUUUGAGAAGACCUGUCCUUAGUACGAGAGGACCGGGAUGGACGUACCUCUGGUGUACCAGU